RNAcentral lists this ribosomal RNA (250 nucleotides) under uncultured bacterium. RNAcentral's name for it is "partial 16S ribosomal RNA". It matches the Rfam family "Bacterial small subunit ribosomal RNA", at positions 524 to 773 of the family's 1533-position model. The record is from RNAcentral.
UACGAAGGGGGCUAGCGUUACUCGGAAUUACUGGGCGUAAAGGGCGCGUAGGCGGCACGAUUAGUCAGGCGUGAAAUUCCUGGGCUCAACCUGGGGACUGCGCUUGAUACGGUCGAGCUAGAGGAUGGAAGAGGGUUGUGGAAUUCCCAGUGUAGAGGUGAAAUUCGUAGAUAUUGGGAAGAACACCGGUGGCGAAGGCGGCAACCUGGUCCAUUACUGACGCUGAGGCGCGAUAGCGUGGGGAGCAAAC